UCGUGUGUAAACUGAAUGCUUGGG
This 24-nucleotide non-coding RNA is filed under the name Cricetulus griseus (Chinese hamster). The record is from RNAcentral. Lineage: Eukaryota; Metazoa; Chordata; Mammalia; Rodentia; Cricetidae.